RNAcentral lists this small nuclear RNA (80 nucleotides) under Neogale vison (American mink). Its description in RNAcentral is "Neovison vison (American mink) U4 spliceosomal RNA (ENSNVIG00000001537.1)". The stretch from base 1 to 69 matches the Rfam family "U4 spliceosomal RNA". Rfam says of the family: U4 small nuclear RNA (U4 snRNA) is a component of the major U2-dependent spliceosome. Lineage: Eukaryota; Metazoa; Chordata; Mammalia; Carnivora; Mustelidae. The record is from RNAcentral.
AGCUUUGUGCAGUGGCAGUAUUGUAGCCACUGAGGUUUAUCCGAGGCGUGAUUACUGCUAAUUAAAUUUGUCAUAGUAUG